RNAcentral lists this ribosomal RNA (366 nucleotides) under candidate division WWE3 bacterium CG_4_9_14_3_um_filter_39_7. RNAcentral's name for it is "bacterial SSU rRNA". It matches the Rfam family "Bacterial small subunit ribosomal RNA", at positions 1 to 344 of the family's 1533-position model. The record is from RNAcentral. Lineage: Bacteria; candidate division WWE3.
AUUGAGAGUCUGAUCCUGGCUCAGGAUGAACGCUGGCGGCAUGCCUAAGCUAUGCAAGUCGAACGGGUCCGACGUCGUACAUCGCAAGAUGUAUCUCAUCGGACUAGUGGCAGACGGGUGAGUAACACGUAGGAACGUGCCUCAAAGUCAGGAAUAGCCCAGAGAAAUCUGGAUUAAUCCCGGAUAGUCCCAUUAAACCGAGAGGUUUUUUGGGUAAAGUGACUAGUUUACUAGUCAUGCUUUGAGAUCGGCCUGCGUCCUAUCAGCUAGUUGGUGAGGUAAUGGCUCACCAAGGCGAUGACGGGUAGGGGGCGUGAGAGCGCGACCCCCCACAAGGGCACUGAGAUCCGGGCCCUAUACCUACGG